UUAAUUCGAGGCUUCUCUUGCCUCUUUGUUCGGAAGCUCUUCCCUAGCCAGUCCUGUGGGUUUCACCCCCUCUCACUAGGCUGGGUUUGUAAAUAGCUUUUGUUGAUUUUGUUUUUCUAUGUUUUGGUCUUGGUCAUAUGUUAUGCUUUAACAGUGGAGAGUUCGAGUUCUCCUGUUAGUUUUAUGGUGGUUGGUCAUUGAUCGACAAGAGUGCUUAAUUUUUCGGCGAUUGACAACUCUUUGGGUCGGUAUUAGGCUUGCAUGACAUAUGGUGACUUCAUAUAGAAAGGGGCUCUGUCCAUCACCCUCUCCAGGCUACGAUGGACCUGUGUGGACAUCUUUAGCCUUGAUCUUGCCUUUCAUGCUCUUGGCUCAUCUUUGGUUGCCCAGCACUCUCCCUAGCCCUAUUAGCUUUGGACGUUUCGAUCUGAGAAGGUUUCUGCUGCUUCGGACUUUAUCUGUUUUCUUGCAUAUUUAGAGGAGCUUGAAUGAGAUGGUGCGACGGCUUUGGUUUCUGAAGCUUGAGAAGGACUAAAAAGGGAGGAGUGUUCUGUUUCUGGUGGCUUUUUAUGUUUUGUUUCUCUUUUGUACUUUAUUUUUCCUUCUUUGGUUGUUUUGGAAGAAGACUAUUUCUUGUCGUCUGGUCAUCAGAAGCUAAAAUCAAACAAGAAGACAGUAACGUUGGCGUUGAAGAAGAAGGUUGUUUGUUUCUUGUCUUCCCUCUUAGCUCUAAGGUUUGUCUUGGUGGGCCUUAGGCCUUUUCGAGGUGUUUCUUCCUUGGGCUUUUGCAAUUAUACAGCUUGUUUUUAUGGGUAAUAUCUUUUUGGACUUCAGCCUUCUAAUGAAACUCCUCCAUAUUUUUAGAAAAAAAA
Molecule: long non-coding RNA, 872 nt
Filed under: Manihot esculenta (cassava)
Lineage: Eukaryota; Viridiplantae; Streptophyta; Magnoliopsida; Malpighiales; Euphorbiaceae
Description: long non-coding RNA (MESC_LNC007038)
Source: RNAcentral